ACAUGAACCUUUAAAAUAAGAGAACUUUCUUCAGCUGGCUGCCAGAGAGGAAGUCAGAAAGCUUUUGAGCAUGAGAUAGCACAGGGACAUGCUUUUAUUUGUUUGAAGCUGGAAGGGGCCACAUGAGAAGGAAUGUGGGCAGCUUCUAAGAGCAAACAACAGUCCCUGGCUGACAGCCAGCCAAGAAACGAGGACCUCCAUCCUACACCUGCAAGGAACUGAAUUCUGCCGACACCUGAAUGAGCUUGAAAGUGGGUUCUCUUCCAACACCUCCAGAUAAGAGUCCAGCUGGCUUACAACUUCGUUUCAGCCUUGUGAUACCCUGAGAAGAGCCCAGCUUAGCCUGCCAGGACCCCUGACCUACACAAGGCCUUUGGGUAGUCCUCUCACGCAUGACUCUGGGCUUGGCCACGUGACUGUUCACUGAUGGAACAUCAUAAGAUGUGAUGCAGGCAGUCAUUUUGUGCCCUGAAACGUUCUUUCUUGCUGCUGGAGACUCUGCAUCCAUCGAAGAAGCUCAGGACAGCCUGCUGGGGACAUGGCCCAGCUGAAAACAACAUAUGCCAGGUCAUGAAUUUCAAACUAUCUAUCUUCACUUGGUGACUUGGAUGACUGAAAAUGAGGCAGUGAUCUUAGAAGCCAAGCAAAACUGCCCAACCCACGCUGUUUGCCCAUAGUUUCAUGAGAAUAAAAUGGUAUUUUAAGUCACUAAGCUUUGAGGCAGUUUGUUACUCCACCAAAGUGUAAUAGAUUUUCUGAGGCAAAAAUAUGUCAAUUGAAAUAUGAAGGCUUCGGGGAGAUGAGUUAGGCAAGGCAGAGGAGAAGCAAUUUUCCAGGUAGAGGAAAUAGCAUUGAUGAAGAACUACCCAUGUGGUGAGUUUGGGCCAUAUGGAAGCGUGUCAGAGCAGCUAGAACAAGAAGAGUGAAAACAGUAGGAAGUAAGUUUGGUGAGGCAAGAGGCAGACAGAUUAUGCAUGGCUUCUGUAUUCAUUAGCUAUUGCCAUAAUACUGCUGUAUACUAAGUGUAGUGAAAAGUCUCAGUCGCUCGGUCACGUCUGACUCUCUGCCACCCCAUGGGCUGUAGGAC
Bos taurus (domestic cattle) is the source of this 1087-nucleotide long non-coding RNA. The record is from Ensembl. NCBI's taxonomy places the organism in Eukaryota, Metazoa, Chordata, Mammalia, Artiodactyla, Bovidae.